UCCUAGUUAACCUAGGCAGUCUCAUUAGAGUCCCCACCUUAACGUGUUGGCAACUAAUGAUAAGGGUUGCGCUCGUUGCUGGACUUAACCAAACACCUCACGGCACGAGCUGACGACAGCCAUGCAGCACCUAUAUAAAGACCCUUGCGGGAAACUUCAUCUCUGAAGUCGUCCUCUACAUUUCGAGCCUGGGUAAGGUUCUUCGCGUUGCAUCGAAUUAAACCACAUGCUCCACUGCUUGUGCGGGCCCCCGUCAAUUCUUUUGAGUUUCACCCUUGCGAGCGUACUCCCCAGGCGGUAUACUUAUCGCGUUAGCUUCGACACAGCCAGGGUUGAGCCUAGCUACAUCAAGUAUACAUCGUUUACGGCAAGGACUAC
Molecule: unclassified non-coding RNA, 378 nt
Filed under: uncultured Simkaniaceae bacterium
Lineage: Bacteria; Pseudomonadati; Chlamydiota; Chlamydiia; Parachlamydiales; Simkaniaceae
Description: contains 16S-23S intergenic spacer region
Source: RNAcentral